This 381-nucleotide long non-coding RNA is filed under the name Elaeis guineensis (African oil palm). RNAcentral describes it as "long non-coding RNA (EGUI_LNC077970)". The record is from RNAcentral. Lineage: Eukaryota; Viridiplantae; Streptophyta; Magnoliopsida; Arecales; Arecaceae.
GAGUUUUCUGAGAACAUCUCAGAUCUAAAACUCCUCCUUCUACUUUCCAUCUUUGGAAGAGUCCAAAUCAAGAAGAAGGAGGCACCUGAUCAACCAUCAAAGAAGGAUCAGCGCAGUACUAGCAUACUGUGCUGAUUUCCUGAAGCAGGACUUCUGAUCGAGAUUCAUGGGCUCGUGUGGAUGACUCCUAGAGGUCGGAUGUGUGUGUGUCUUGCAGCAUCAUCCUCAAGCCUGGAUCAGUGAGGUUAGAACGUCUAACUUGCAAGGUAAUAGAUCUGAUCUAUUGUUUAAUACAUACAUUAGAUGUAGUAUAGAAACAUGUUGAUAUGAUCAACAUGUAGUUCAUGCUAUAUUUAUAUAUUUUAAUUUUUGAUUUAAUGC